GGUAGGAGAGCGUCGUAACCGGGCUGAAGUCGUACCGUAAGGAGCGGUGGACUGGUUACGAGUGAGAAUGUUGGCAUCAGUAGCGAGAUGUGGGUGAGAAUCCCACAGGCCGAAAACCUAAGGUUUCCUCAGGAAGGUUCGUCCGCUGAGGGUUAGUCGGGACCUAAGCCGAGGCCGAAAGGCGUAGGUGAUGGACAACUGGUUGAUAUUCCAGUACCACUACCAUCGUUAUUAUCGAUGGCGUGACGCAGGAGGAUAGUGUGUGCUAGCUAUUGGAUGCUAGUCUAAGCGUUUAGGCAGUGAGAGUAGGCAAAUCCGCUCUCAUAAUGCUGAGGCGUGAUGGGGAAGGUUCCACGGAACCGAAGUACAUGAUUCCACGCUGCCAAGAAAAGCGUCUAGAGAGAGAAGUAGUGCCCGUACCGCAAACCGACACAGGUAGGUGAGGAGAGAAUCCUAAGGCCGGCGGAAGAAUUACAGUUAAGGAACUCGGCAAAUUGACCCCGUAAGUUCGCGAGAAGGGGUGCCUACGAGAGUAGGCCGCAGAGAAUAGGCCCAAGCAACUGUUUAGCAAAAACACAGGUCUCUGCUAAAGCGUAAGCUGAUGUAUAGGGGCUGACGCCUGCCCGGUGCUGGAAGGUUAAGGGGAACACUUAGCGCAAGCGAAGGUGUGAACUUAAGCCCC
Molecule: ribosomal RNA, 682 nt
Filed under: Escherichia coli
Lineage: Bacteria; Pseudomonadati; Pseudomonadota; Gammaproteobacteria; Enterobacterales; Enterobacteriaceae
Description: partial 23S ribosomal RNA
Rfam family: Bacterial large subunit ribosomal RNA
Source: RNAcentral